AUUGAACGCUGGCGGAAUGCUUUACACAUGCAAGUCGAACGGUAAGGCCCUUCGGGGUACACGAGUGGCGAACGGGUGAGUAACACGUGGGUGAUCUGCCCUGCACUUCGGGAUAAGCCUGGGAAACUGGGUCUAAUACCGGAUAGGACUCCGGACUGCAUGGUCUGGGGUGGAAAGCUUUUGCGGUGUGGGAUGGGCCCGCGGCCUAGCAGCUUGUUGGUGAGGUGAUGGCCUACCAAGGCGACGACGGGUAGACGGCCUGAGAGGGUGACAGGCCACACUGGGACUGAGAUACGGCCCAGACUCCUACGGGAGGCAGCAGUGGGGAAUAUUGCACAAUGGGCGCAAGCCUGAUGCAGCGACGCCGCGUGAGGGAUGACGGCCUUCGGGUUGUAAACCUCUUUCGCCAGGGACGAAGCGCAAGUGACGGUACCUGGAGAAGAAGGACCGGCCAACUACGUGCCAGCCGCCGCCGUAA
This 478-nucleotide ribosomal RNA is filed under the name uncultured bacterium. RNAcentral describes it as "partial 16S ribosomal RNA". It matches the Rfam family "Bacterial small subunit ribosomal RNA", at positions 28 to 523 of the family's 1533-position model. The record is from RNAcentral.